AAUUGCAAUUAACGAAACUUGUCGGAAUGGUUAGCUAACGAUACGAAUAUUGUCGUUAAGAAAAAUGGGAAUCGCACUACAGAGCACUAUUCGCCUAAC
Rhagoletis zephyria (snowberry fruit fly) is the source of this 99-nucleotide long non-coding RNA. RefSeq lists it as uncharacterized. The record is from RefSeq and is a predicted model, not a curated record. NCBI's taxonomy places the organism in Eukaryota, Metazoa, Arthropoda, Insecta, Diptera, Tephritidae.